CGAAGGGGCUAGCGUUGUUCGGAAUUACUGGGGCGUAAAGCGCACGUAGGCGGGUAUUUAAGUCAGGGGUGAAAUCCCAGAGCUCAACUCUGGAACUGCCUUUGAUACUGGGUACCUAGAGUAUGGAAGAGGUGAGUGGAAUUCCGAGUGUAGAGGUGAAAUUCGUAGAUAUUCGGAGGAACACCAGUGGCGAAGGCGGCUCACUGGUCCAUUACUGACGCUGAGGUGCGAAAGCGUGGGGAGCAAACAGGAUU
RNAcentral lists this ribosomal RNA (254 nucleotides) under uncultured bacterium. RNAcentral describes it as "partial 16S ribosomal RNA". It matches the Rfam family "Bacterial small subunit ribosomal RNA", at positions 527 to 779 of the family's 1533-position model. The record is from RNAcentral.